Molecule: transfer RNA, 73 nt
Filed under: Bos taurus (domestic cattle)
Lineage: Eukaryota; Metazoa; Chordata; Mammalia; Artiodactyla; Bovidae
Also listed under: 4 other names
Rfam family: tRNA
About the family: Transfer RNA (tRNA) molecules are approximately 80 nucleotides in length. Their secondary structure includes four short double-helical elements and three loops (D, anti-codon, and T loops).
Source: Rfam by way of RNAcentral
UCCCUGACAGUCCAGUGGUUAAGACUCCAAGCUUCCAACACAAGGGGCUCAGGUUCGAUCCCUGGUCAGGGAA